UACGAAUGGGGCAAGCGUUGUUCGGAAUCACUGGGCUUAAAGCGUAUGCAGGCGGCCGCGCAAGUCAGAAGUGAAAUCCCUGGGCUUAACCCAGGAAUUGCUUUUGAAACUGCACGGCUAGAAUCCCGGAGAGGUUAACAGAAUUCCGAGUGUAGAGGUGAAAUUCGCAGAUAUUCGGAGGAAUACCAGUGGCGCAAGCGGUUAACUGGACGGGCAUUGACGCUCAGAUACGAAAGCAUGGGGAGCAAACAGG
RNAcentral lists this ribosomal RNA (253 nucleotides) under uncultured bacterium. RNAcentral describes it as "partial 16S ribosomal RNA". It matches the Rfam family "Bacterial small subunit ribosomal RNA", at positions 524 to 776 of the family's 1533-position model. The record is from RNAcentral.